RNAcentral lists this ribosomal RNA (486 nucleotides) under uncultured bacterium. RNAcentral describes it as "partial 16S ribosomal RNA". It matches the Rfam family "Bacterial small subunit ribosomal RNA", at positions 30 to 507 of the family's 1533-position model. The record is from RNAcentral.
AUUGAACGCUGGCGGCAUGCCUUACACAUGCAAGUCGAACGGCAGCGCGGACUUCGGUCUGGCGGCGAGUGGCGAACGGGUGAGUAAUACAUCGGAACGUACCCUGUUGUGGGGGAUAACUAGUCGAAAGAUUAGCUAAUACCGCAUACGACCUGAGGGUGAAAGUGGGGGACCGGAAACGGCCUCAUGCAGCAGGAGCGGCCGAUGUCUGAUUAGCUAGUUGGUGGGGUAAAGGCCCACCAAGGCGACGAUCAGUAGCUGGUCUGAGAGGACGAUCAGCCACACUGGGACUUAGACACGGCCCAGACUCCUACGGGAGGCAGCAGUGGGGAAUUUUGGACAAUGGGGGCAACCCUGAUCCAGCAAUGCCGCGUGUGUGAAGAAGGCCUUCGGGUUGUAAAGCACUUUUGUCCGGAAAGAAAUCGCGCUGGUUAAUACCUGGCGUGGAUGACGGUACCGGAAGAAUAAGCACCGGCUAACUACGUG